RNAcentral lists this ribosomal RNA (443 nucleotides) under uncultured bacterium. RNAcentral describes it as "partial 16S ribosomal RNA". It matches the Rfam family "Bacterial small subunit ribosomal RNA", at positions 338 to 795 of the family's 1533-position model. The record is from RNAcentral.
CCUACGGGUGGCAGCAGUGGGGAAUAUUGGGCAAUGGGCGCAAGCCUGACCCAGCAACGCCGCGUGAAGGAAGAAGGCUCUCGGGUUGUAAACUUCUUUUCUCAGGGACGAAGAAAGUGACGGUACCUGAGGAAUAAACCACGGCUAACUACGUGCCAGCAGCCGCGGUAAUACGGAGGUGGCAAGCGUUAUCCGGAUUUAUUGGGUGUAAAGGGCGUGUAGGCGGGAGCGCAAGUCAGAUGGGAAAACUCAGGGCUCAACCCUGAGCCUGCAUUUGAAACUGGGUUUCUUGAGUGCUGGAGAGGCAAUCGGAAUUCGGGGUGUAGCGGUGAAAUGCGUAGAUAUACGGAAGAACACCGAUUGCGAAGGCAGAUUACUGGACAGUAACUGACGCUGAGGCGCGAAAGCGUGGGGAGCGAACAGGAUUAGAUACCCUUGUAGUC